GGGUCCUGCUCCGGCUGUGCACCCCAACUAAUGUUUAUUGAGUGUCUGUUUUGAUAGCAUCUCUAAUUUUAAUCCGUAUACCAUCCUAUAAGGAGGCAUAUUGAGGCAUGUCUUGAGGGAAACAAGAUUCCUUUUGAGAUUCUGAGACCAAAACAGAAGUAAAAGAGAUCAUUCAGGUAAUUCCUAAAUCAUUUUGGGGGUAUUCCAUAGAAUAUUUGGGAUUUGUUUAACAAUGAUAUACAAAAUUUUCAUAGGUUGAAGGAAG
This is a long non-coding RNA of Heterocephalus glaber (naked mole-rat), 265 nucleotides long. The record is from Ensembl. Lineage: Eukaryota; Metazoa; Chordata; Mammalia; Rodentia; Bathyergidae.